This 428-nucleotide long non-coding RNA is filed under the name Malus domestica (apple). Its description in RNAcentral is "long non-coding RNA (MDOM_LNC012035)". Lineage: Eukaryota; Viridiplantae; Streptophyta; Magnoliopsida; Rosales; Rosaceae. The record is from RNAcentral.
CCUUGAACAGCUAGAGAAGGUGAAACCAGAGAAGAAAAGGCCAGUUGUAGUACCAGCCAACAAACGAGUACGAGCUAACAAUGGCGGUCCCAUGCCUCCGGCCAAGGCUGGCCGCUUGACGAAUGCAUAUGUGUCUUCGUUCCCUACACCUCCUACAUUUGUCAGGUCUCCUUCCCAUGGCCAGUAUCCUGCUGGGUUCUCACCGUACCAUUCCCCACCCACCAUGUAUGGUAGCAGAAGCCCACCAACCCCUUAUGCAUACUCACCGGAAGCAGCACCCCCUCCUCCUCAUGCCGGAUCAUACCCUGGACCUCCGAUGAACUAUCCUGCAUAUGGGGCUUAUGGCAAUGGUAUGGUACCAGCUUAUCAGCCGGCUUACUACCGAUAGACAUGACAAACCUCAUAUGAAGACGGUAAGCACUGAUACG